RNAcentral lists this long non-coding RNA (1174 nucleotides) under Homo sapiens (human). Its description in RNAcentral is "HSALNT0117175". The record is from RNAcentral. Lineage: Eukaryota; Metazoa; Chordata; Mammalia; Primates; Hominidae.
UUUUUUCCCAACGGAUGACCUGGACAUUCUGAAGUUGCAUUAAUAGCAAGUUUAUAUUCCUAAUAUAAAUACAUCUCCUCUGAGUCUUGGAAAAUGGGAUCAACUUAAUUGUCUCCACAUGUAUGCUCUGGGGAGCCUGGUCCUCACUGAACCCCAGUUACAAAACCUACAGCAAAUUUUUGUCCAGAUCACUGUCCAUCCAGCUUGCCGUGUUCUGGAGGAAGAUGUUUUGUUUUAUAGUUUGUGCUAUAGUCAUGAGAACAAGCAGCUUGUGUUCUAUAUCUUCUUACUUUUUGAAGCAAGUGUGCUGGGUACUGUUCACGCUGAUCAGCCCUAGGCCUGGGGGCCGUGCCCUUGCAGCCACUCUGAAGCCAGUGCCCAGCCUUGUGCCUGGGAGACCAGGGAGGCUGGGGAGGGAGGCCGGGGAAGCUGACUGCACGGCAGCUGAGGUCACAGCUGCUUGUGGAGAGAAGCUUCAAGUUGACAUCACUGUGAGCUAAAACCGUGGCUACCCUCCGGAUAACAAAGCAAGCUAUUGGCAGGAAGAAAGGGAAAAUUACGAAAAUUAAACAAGGCAAGCAUUAAUGCCAUAUUGCCUUUUCUCUCUGAAAUGCAAGAUUUGGCAAAGCCAAUUUCCACAUUUGGCCGUGGCCUCUCAGGCUUCUGUGCCAUCCCCGUGGAACGUGGUGCUGAUCCUGGGUCUCCCCUCUCCAGCCCUGGCUUUGUCCACUUUGCCCCUCCUGGGCUCCGCCUUGCCCUCCUCCUGCGGCUGCCAUGCCCGUCCUGAACUCAGCUCCUCUCUGACCCCACGCACGGCUCCUCUCUGACCCCACGCACGGCUCCUCUCUGACCCCACGCACGGCUCCUCUCUGACCCCACGCACGGCUCCUCUCUGACCCCACGUCCGGGGCUGCGUCCCGCCUCGGCUGCUCUCACUGCAGCCGUUUCUUCACAGGGUGAUCCUCACAGAAACACUCAAAGCCUUCUGUUACGUACAAAGGACCGCGUGUCAGUAAUCUACAGCCAUUUACCAGUUACCAAGAAAACACGGACGUUUCCACUAAAAAUCGCAAACGUUUCUUUCAAGCAAGGAGCGCCCUGCGCCAGAGGCUGUGGGAGGAGUGAGGAGUCUGGGUUCGUUCCAGCCGCAAUGCUCCCAAAUCCUGUGGUUUGC